AUCCCAUUGAACUCUAUCCUGUUCUGUGAAAACGAGCAAGGAGGAAGAAGAAGAAGAUGGAACCAAAACAGAGUGCUCUUCUUCCCCCAAGGAGAGGAGAGGUGAAGAUUAGGAUAGUCAGGACUCUGUUGAAAUCCGCUAGUGGAGUCAGGUCAGUGGGUGAUGGAUUUGGGAAAAAGAAUUACUCAAACUCCACAUCGAACUCCAACUCAGGCCAAUUCUGAUCAGCAGUCUGUGCAGUAAUGCUUUAAUUUUGAUUGUAUUAAGUUUUUGGUACUUAUUCACUUUCUUGGACAUUACUAUCUGAUGUACUGUAUAAGCUGAUAUCUGUAUUUGUACACUGAGAGAAGAAAUUUCAAUUUGAUGGUUUUUAACUACAGAAAUUCACACGAGUAAGAACAGCAUAUCAUUACUAUUGGAAUUGGG
This 426-nucleotide long non-coding RNA is filed under the name Olea europaea subsp. europaea. The record is from RNAcentral. Lineage: Eukaryota; Viridiplantae; Streptophyta; Magnoliopsida; Lamiales; Oleaceae.